CAGCUGUGGAACAGCAGCAGGAUACGGAAGAGUGAGACUGGGAAUUGAACCUCGGGCGUUUCGGGGAGGCCUCGAGUCUGCCCUCUGGUGUUUUGCUCUUGACGCUGGGUCGAUUUGGGCCCCUCUCGAGUGCGGCCUCCUGGGAGGGAGCUACGGGACAGGCGGCGGGACUGGGGAGCGAGCGGAGGCGGCAGACACAGGCGCUGGAGCUCGGCCACCAGGUCGGGGUCACGUUUACCCUCCCCGCCCGUCCGCCCUUCCCGAGUCCACCAAGCCACCUCCCGGCUGCCCCCGCCUCUUUAUUUUGCUCUUCAAAUUAUUUGUAGUCUGUGUCUGUCCACUAAGAGGUCCAGGCAGCACUUCCCCUUCUCUGGCUUAUUUCCGAGCUGGCGGGGCGGACUGUCUCGCGGAGGAAAAUGGGCCUCUGGUCUUUGGGGCUGCAGACCCAGGCUGUCCCGAUGUCCAGGGUGCGUCCGGGGGGGGGAGCAGGCAGGGCCGAGGGGCCGCCCGGCCCCGGCCUUCCUCAGCGUGGAGGCCGGAACAGGGCCGUUCAUGCCAUGCCUUGGUCGACUGAGACAUGGAACUUGGGUCUCUCUCCAGAGGCACAGCAAGCAUCGGCUUAGAACUUCCCCACAAGCAGUCUACAGACCCGGUCACUGCAGCGUGGAUACCAGAAGCCCUUGGUAAAGAUGAUUUAAGCUGGCCGGGCGUGUUGGCGCACGCCUGUAAUCUCAGCACUUGGGGAGGCUGAAGCAGGAAGAUCACAAGUUCAAGCCCAGCCCGGGCAAUUUAGUGUGAGAUCCUGGAUCAAAAUUAAAACCAGGCUGAGAUAUAGCUCAGUGGCACCGUGCCUGCCUGGAAAACGUCCUGAGUUUGAUCCCCGGUACCACCAAAACAAACAAACAAACUACCCCCCACCCCCAACCCUGGAAUGGAUCUCGGCCUGAAAGCCCUGAGUUCACUCCCCAGUAGAGCAGAGCAAUGAGCUGGGUGUGGUGGCACAUACACAUCUGUAAGACCACUAACCUGGAGGGCUGAGGCAGGAAGAUCGGAAGUUCAAGCCCAGAGUGAUCGAUUUAGGGACCUAGUGAGACCCUGUCAAAAAGAAAAAAAAAAAAUGGAGAGAAUAAUUUGGCCUGGCCAGUAGAUGGCGCCUGAGGCUUAUGAUAAUUUUCAAAACAGGGUUAGAAAUACUUUUGUUACAGCUAAUGAUUGUAAUUUAGCAUAGUAACAACAGCAAUGGCAGAGACCACCAGUUCCUUUCAAGAUGUUUGGCUCAAAAAUAAACAAAUGGAAGAGGGGGUCAGCUCUUAGAACAGCGAGCAGGAAACGCAAGUUGACUUAAAUGCAGAGAAAGAGGGUGACCCAUCAGGAGGUGACGGGAGCAGAAGGGAGGGCAACGAGGAAUCGUUGGAGCAGAGCAGCAAAAAGUCAAAUCAAAUCAAAUCAAAUCAGUCUCUCCAAAGGAUCGGGGACAGGGACAGGAGUGAGUUAGAGAGGGCCAGGGAGUAAAAGUCAAGUCCUUUUUCAGUUCUUACAGCUGCAACCGAAAUGUGAACCAGACACCAUGGGGCUCCGCAGAGAAGGUGGCAGGGAAAGGUCCAGGAAGCAGAUGCAAGGGCUGGAGGUGUGCACAGAUGCAGCCACUGUAGGGCAUGGAGGCAGGGUGGGCUGGUCCUAGAGGUCAGGGAGGACACAGGGCCAGUCCCAGCUGUAGGAGCCAGUGUGCAGAUGGGGACAGCUCUAAAGGAGAGGAAUCCGUAGCCUCAACACAGAGGGUGGAAUCAGCUUCUUCCUGCAUGGCUGAAGGCGCGUGGAUGAGGAAGUAGAUUCCCGGGCCUGCGCUCCUGAUGAAAGGACCCAGAGGAGGCAGGAGGCACAGAGGGCUCAGGGCCCCUAGCAGAGCUGCCCUGGAGGUUCUGUAACCGGAUACAGGGUAGGUUUUUAAACCAUGAUCUUAAAAAAGGAAAUCUUGCCUCUUGGGCCCCUCCGACCACCCUUUGAGUUUCCGUGUGGUCAUCAGCCUGUGGGUGCCCUGAGGAAGGACCCUGCCAUGGGUUACUUGUGUGGUACCUUCGCUCCUUAGUGUCCCAGCGUCUGAGCAGCCUGUUCAGGCUCCCUUUGGCCUCGUCAGCUGGAACCUCAGAGCCUGCACCGUCUCCGGAGAGGCCUCAAGCCAAGGGCUGUCUCCCGCUGUUGCAUCCCUGGUCAUUCAUCUACUUGGGGCUGAUUUAUAACACUGUGCAGCGGAGUAACCUGGAGGAAUACAGACUAGAGGCUGGUGCCUGACGUUGGGAAUGGAGAGAGAUGGAUCGAACAGGGUGCAGGAGAGGUCUGGGGUGAUGUCCUCAACGGCUCUCAUCUGGAUGAUUUGUUGUAUAUCUCUGUCAAAACACAUUAAAUCAUAUGCUUAAAUCUGUGCAGCUAUUACAUGCAGAUAGUAAGGUUGUAGGGAAUAGAAUUGCUGUAAUGUACAGUUGCAACAAAAUUGGAACAUUGAACUAACUUUCAAAUGGUGCCAUAUGUGAUAGAAAACAAGGUACUACAGCCGGUCGGAUCUGGAGUGAGCCUGGAGGUGUUGGAGGCUUUGCCCCCACUGGCACUGCUGGGAGGUGUGUGACCUUUAGGAGGCGGAGCCUGGGGGACGUCUUCCGGUGCUGAGGAGUACCCUGGAUGGCUCCCUUCCUUUAUUCUCUUUUCACUGUCUGGUCAGGAAGUGAGCAGCUUCGCUCUGCCGUCCACUCCCCACCGUGGUGUGCUGCUUCGUCACAGGCCCCCAAAGCAGCAGGUCCAACUGACCAAGGACUGAACUCUCCAAAACUGAGAGCCGAAGCCAAACCUUCUUAUUUUAAGUUAUUCAUCCUAGGUAUUCUGUCACAGUGAUAGAAGCCUAUCACAACCCCUAAGUAUACAACAGAGAGACUCUUAAAUGUAUACCAUGAGAUAUAUUUAGGACAGUUGUUGUAGAAUUAUUUGUAGUAGGAAUAAAAUAGUAAUAUCUAAAUAUUUUCCUAAAUGCAUUUUCUGUCCAUUCCCUACCCAUUUUUCUACUGAGUGGUUCUUUUUAAAUCUAGGAAUGCUUUAUUAUACAUUGAGGUAAUAGAUUUAGAUAGUAUAUCAAUAGAAAGGAGAGCUACGAAUUCAUCAAAAAGAAAUUAACACUGCAUGUAUGAAUAUGAAUAAAUCUCAUAAAGUACAGAAAAGUAUUUAGUAUGAUAUUGGGUAAAGUUUAAAAACAUGCAAUAGUAAAACAUUUUUUAGGGAUUCAUAUGCUUAUCUUAAAAGUAUGAAAAAAAGGCCUCGAGAUGAGAAAUAACAAAUUUGGUAUUUUUCUCUGAGGUAAAAGGAAGUUGAUAUAAUUGGAAAAAUUACCCAGGGGUUUGCGUUACAUUGUCCUAGUCACGGCCUAUUUCUGAUGCUAAGUGUGAGGGCACAGGUUUCUCCUUUUAUUCUUUAUACCUUAUUUGUAUGUGUUAAAUAAUUAUAAGUAGUUCUAUCUCAGAAAUACAUACACAUUUUUCCUUUUACCAAUUGCUCUGAUGUCCCAUCUCCUCUCUCGUGGCUCAUAGCCUCCCUCUGGCUGUAGCUCCCUGCAACCACGGUUAUUUCAUAGUGUGGGCUGGGCAGACUCACCCUGCCUGUUCUUGUGCCCCGUGAUGGGAAUGUCCACUCACAGGCCCUCUCUCCUCCCAGGGAAGGGGACAUCGGAGAAGCCACUGAAGGCCCAUCUUCCACAUCGCUGGCCUGGUCUGGCUGCUGUAGCAGCUCCAGGCUGUGCGACGGUGGGGUUGCAGUAGUGUUUACUUUUGUUUUAGACAAUGGGAAUUUAAAAGGAGGGUGAUAUGGAGAAAUACUUAAAGGAGUAUGAAAAUAAUGUGCUUAUUUUCAUUACAUUUAAUUUGAUAAUAAUCAGUUGACUUUGCUUGAGCCCUUAACCUAAGUUUUUGGAACAAGUUAAGUCAGUUCGAGCUCACUUUUUUCCACAGUGAUAAUAGACAAUUAGUGCCCAUCACUCUUUACGUAUUGUUCUUUCCUGUGCUGAAGUUGCUUACUAAAUGUUUCCCACUUCUUUCUACUUUGAACUAAACAGUUCUUAAGUGUAUUUCCACUGCUUGCCUAUUAUUGAGCAUACAUCAUCCACCCUGUGUGCCUUAAUCUCCCCAGGCAUCAUGUUUUAUGAUGCAGGGCAUGCACACAGCCUUGUGUUUCACUGAGGUCAUCCUAAUUUCUCUUUCUUUUCCAAACUACCACAAUAUAGCACUUGUUGCAUUUUAAAACUUGAGCUGGCUACUGGGAAUACAACUGGUGGCAUGUGUAUUACAUGUGCAGAGCAAGCACAGUUUAUCACAGGAGAAGCUGGUCUGGCCCCAGUGUUUGGUCGCUGGUUUCCUUGAUGACUCACCCAUAAUCCUGCUGUCAGCCUAAGUCAGUCUCCUGGCAUCAGUACAGAAUCUGUUAUGAGGUUUUCAUCCUACAGCCCUUGAGAGGAAAAUACUAGGCUGAUAACAGAGCAAUUUUUUUCUUGAAUUGUAUAACUUUUCUCUCUUCUGGAAAUGAGUGAUAUUAUUUACACAACUUGGGAAAAUACAUCCUGGGAACUUUGAUGUUUGAAAAGUGGUGUGAAAAUUCAUUCAUAUUUUAAAAAUUGAGUCUGAGUAAAUAGGAGAAAAUUGAGAAGGAAACACCCAGAGUGUUGGCAGGAGUAAGAAAUUUGUGGAAAUAGGAUUGUAGAAAUGGAGACCUCGAAUAUAUCUACACUAUAUAAUAUUUAAACAUGUGAUCUAAGAAUAUUUUGGGUAAUUUUUCCUAUUUAAUCAUUUUCAAAAUGAUGUUUAAGAAAAUAUGGCUUGUGUCUAGAUGUCCCCCACAAAAGCCUCAUAUGCUCAUAGGUGGAGCUUUUCAGAGCUGGCUGGAACUAGGGUGUGUGCUACUGGGAUUAAAGGUGCAAUAAUUGGAUUAAUCCACUGAUUAGUGUUGUUCUGGGUGUAGGUGAUGGGAAGCCCCACCCUUGGCAUGGGUGGCACCAAUCAAUAGGCUUGUAGCCCAGAUGAAAUGUGAAGAGAAAGAGGGAAGGCAGGCUUGUUGCUUUCUGCCUGCCCUGCCAGGGACUAUUUCUCCUCUGCCUUCCACCCUGCCUUGGAGGCAGCUGACUGUGGACUGACAUCUCUACAAACUGUGAG
Molecule: long non-coding RNA, 5180 nt
Filed under: Heterocephalus glaber (naked mole-rat)
Lineage: Eukaryota; Metazoa; Chordata; Mammalia; Rodentia; Bathyergidae
Description: lncRNA (ENSHGLG00000043930.1)
Source: RNAcentral